Molecule: ribosomal RNA, 663 nt
Filed under: Coprinus vosoustii
Lineage: Eukaryota; Fungi; Basidiomycota; Agaricomycetes; Agaricales; Agaricaceae
Description: eukaryotic LSU rRNA
Rfam family: 5.8S ribosomal RNA (bases 259-412)
Source: RNAcentral
GUCGUAACAAGGUUUCCGUAGGUGAACCUGCGGAAGGAUCAUUAUUGAAUAAACAUGGUUGGGUUGUAGCUGGCUCUUCGGAGCAUGUGCACACCUGCCGUCUUUAUCUAUCCACCUGUGCACACAUUGUAGUCUUGGGGGAUUGAUUAGCGACAAUUCGUUGUUCGCGUCGUCGUCCUCUGAGGUCUAUGUUAUCAUAAACCACGUAGUCUGUCGAAGAAUGAAGUAUUUGGCCUCAGUGCCUAUAAAACAAAAUACAACUUUCAGCAACGGAUCUCUUGGCUCUCGCAUCGAUGAAGAACGCAGCGAAAUGCGAUAAGUAAUGUGAAUUGCAGAAUUCAGUGAAUCAUCGAAUCUUUGAACGCACCUUGCGCUCCUUGGUAUUCCGAGGAGCAUGCCUGUUUGAGUGUCAUUAAAUUCUCAACCCUUCCAGCUUUUGUGGCUGGUUGUGGCUUGGAUGUGGGGGUUUUUGCAGGUCUCUCUAGAGAUCAGCUCCCCUAAAAUGCAUUAGCGGAACCGUUUGCGAUCCGUCACCGGUGUGAUAAUUAUCUACGCCAUCGACUGUGAACGCUCUCUGUUUUGUUCUGCUUCGAACUGUCUUGCAAAAGACAACUUUAUUGAACUUUUGACCUCAAAUCAGGUAGGACUACCCGCUGAACUUAG